CCUACGGGAGGCAGCAGUGGGGAAUAUUGCACAAUGGGCGCAAGCCUGAUGCAGCCAUGCCGCGUGUAUGAAGAAGGCCUUAGGGUUGUAAAGUACUUUCAGCAGGGAGGAAAGAAAUAAAACUAAUAAUUUUAUUUUGUGACGUUACCUGAAGAAGAAGCACCGGCUAACUCCGUGCCAGCAGCCGCGGUAAU
This 194-nucleotide ribosomal RNA is filed under the name Buchnera aphidicola (Myzus persicae). RNAcentral's name for it is "partial 16S ribosomal RNA". It matches the Rfam family "Bacterial small subunit ribosomal RNA", at positions 338 to 524 of the family's 1533-position model. Lineage: Bacteria; Pseudomonadati; Pseudomonadota; Gammaproteobacteria; Enterobacterales; Erwiniaceae. The record is from RNAcentral.